AGCCUUGCAUCCUAGAACUGACUGAAUU
This 28-nucleotide unclassified non-coding RNA is filed under the name Mus musculus (house mouse). RNAcentral's name for it is "oocyte_clustered_small_RNA13020". The record is from RNAcentral. Lineage: Eukaryota; Metazoa; Chordata; Mammalia; Rodentia; Muridae.